GGGCUCGCAGGCGGUUUCUUAAGUCUGAUGUGAAAGCCCCCGGCUCAACCGGGGAGGGUCAUUGGAAACUGGGGAACUUGAGUGCAGAAGAGGAGAGUGGAAUUCCACGUGUAGCGGUGAAAUGCGUAGAGAUGUGGAGGAACACCAGUGGCGAAGGCGACUCUCUGGUCUGUAACUGACGCUGAGGAGCGAAAGCGUGGGGAGCGAACAGGAUUAGAUACCCUGGUAGUCCACGCCGUAAACGAUGAGUGCUAAGUGUUAGGGGGUUUCCGCCCCUUAGUGCUGCAGCUAACGCAUUAAGCACUCCGCCUGGGGAGUACGGUCGCAAGACUGAAACUCAAAGGAAUUGACGGGGGCCCGCACAAGCGGUGGAGCAUGUGGUUUAAUUCGAAGCAACGCGAAGAACCUUACCAGGUCUUGACAUCCUCUGACAAUCCUAGAGAUAGGACGUCCCCUUCGGGGGCAGAGUGACAGGUGGUGCAUGGUUGUCGUCAGCUCGUGUCGUGAGAUGUUGGGUUAAGUCCCGCAACGAGCGCAACCCUUGAUCUUAGUUGCCAGCAUUCAGUUGGGCACUCUAAGGUGACUGCCGGUGACAAACCGGAGGAAGGUGGGGAUGACGUCAAAUCAUCAUGCCCCUUAUGACCUGGGCUACACACGUGCUACAAUGGACAGAACAAAGGGCAGCGAAACCGCGAGGUUAAGCCAAUCCCACAAAUCUGUUCUCAGUUCGGAUCGCAGUCUGCAACUCGACUGCGUGAA
This 759-nucleotide ribosomal RNA is filed under the name Bacillus subtilis. Its description in RNAcentral is "bacterial SSU rRNA". It matches the Rfam family "Bacterial small subunit ribosomal RNA", at positions 565 to 1324 of the family's 1533-position model. The record is from RNAcentral. Lineage: Bacteria; Bacillati; Bacillota; Bacilli; Caryophanales; Bacillaceae.